GUUUGAUCCUGGCUCAGAUUGAACGCUGGCGGCAUGCCUUACACAUGCAAGUCGAACGGUAACGCGGGGCAACCUGGCGACGAGUGGCGAACGGGUGAGUAAUGCAUCGGAACGUGCCCAGUAGUGGGGGAUAGCCCGGCGAAAGCCGGAUUAAUACCGCAUACGACCUACGGGUGAAAGCGGGGGACUCGCAAGAGCCUCGCGCUAUUGGAGCGGCCGAUGUCAGAUUAGCUAGUUGGUGGGGUAAAAGCCUACCAAGGCGACGAUCUGUAGCUGGUCUGAGAGGACGACCAGCCACACUGGGACUGAGACACGGCCCAGACUCCUACGGGAGGCAGCAGUGGGGAAUUUUGGACAAUGGGCGCAAGCCUGAUCCAGCCAUGCCGCGUGCGGGAAGAAGGCCUUCGGGUUGUAAACCGCUUUUGUCAGGGAAGAAACGCUCUGGGCUAAUACCCCGGGGUAAUGACGGUACCUGAAGAAUAAGCACCGGCUAACUACGUGCCAGCAGCCGCGGUAAUACGUAGGGUGCAAGCGUUAAUCGGAAUUACUGGGCGUAAAGCGUGCGCAGGCGGUUAUGCAAGACAGAUGUGAAAUCCCCGGGCUCAACCUGGGAACUGCAUUUGUGGCUGCAUAGCUAGAGUACGGUAGAGGGGGAUGGAAUUCCGCGUGUAGCAGUGAAAUGCGUAGAUAUGCGGAGGAACACCGAUGGCGAAGGCAAUCCCCUGGACCUGUACUGACGCUCAUGCACGAAAGCGUGGGGAGCAAACAGGAUUAGAUACCCUGGUAGUCCACGCCCUAAACGAUGUCAACUGGUUGUUGGACGGCUUGCUGUUCAGUAACGAACCUAACGCGUGAAGUUGACCGCCUGGGGAGUACGGUCGCAAGGAAAAACUCAAAGGAAUUGACGGGGACCCGCACAAGCGGUGGAUGAUGUGGUUUAAUUCGAUGCAACGCGAAAAACCUUACCUACCCUUGACAUGUCAAGAAUCUUGCAGAGAUGUGAGAGUGCUCGAAAGAGAACUUGAACACAGGUGCUGCAUGGCCGUCGUCAGCUCGUGUCGUGAGAUGUUGGGUUAAGUCCCGCAACGAGCGCAACCCUUGUCAUUAGUUGCUACGAAAGGGCACUCUAAUGAGACUGCCGGUGACAAACCGGAGAAAGGUGGGGAUGACGUCAGGUCCUCAUGGCCCUUAUGGGUAGGGCUACACACGUCAUACAAUGGCCGGUACAGAGGGCUGCCAACCCGCGAGGGGGAGCUAAUCCCAGAAAACCGGUCGUAGUCCGGAUCGCAGUCUGCAACUCGACUGCGCGAAGUCGGAAUCGCUAGUAAUCGCGGAUCAGCUUGCCGCGGUGAAUACGUUCCCGGGUCUUGUACACACCGCCCGUCACACCAUGGGAGCGGGUUCUGCCAGAAGUAGUUAGCCUAACCGCAAGGGGGGCGAUUACCACGGCAGGGUUCGUGACUGGGGUGAAGUCGGAACAAGGUA
This 1485-nucleotide ribosomal RNA is filed under the name metagenome. RNAcentral describes it as "bacterial SSU rRNA". It matches the Rfam family "Bacterial small subunit ribosomal RNA". The record is from RNAcentral.